GGUGAACGCUGGCGGUAGGCCUAACACAUGCAAGUCGAACGGCAGCACAGUAAGAGCUUGCUCUUACGGGUGGCGAGUGGCGGACGGGUGAGGAAUACAUCGGAAUCUACUUUUUCGUGGGGGAUAACGUAGGGAAACUUACGCUAAUACCGCGUACGACCUACGGGUGAAAGCAGGGGAUCUUCGGACCUUGCGCGAUUGAAUGAGCCGAUGUCGGAUUAGCUAGUUGGCGGGGUAAAGGCCCACCAAGGCGACGAUCCGUAGCUGGUCUGAGAGGAUGAUCAGCCACACUGGAACUGAGACACGGUCCAGACUCCUACGGGAGGCAGCAGUGGGGAAUAUUGGACAAUGGGCGCAAGCCUGAUCCAGCCAUACCGCGUGGGUGAAGAAGGCCUUCGGGUUGUAAAGCCCUUUUGUUGGGAAAGAAAAGCAGCAGGUUAAUACCCCGCUGUUCUGACGGUACCCAAAGAGUAAGCACCGGCUAACUUCGUG
RNAcentral lists this ribosomal RNA (492 nucleotides) under uncultured bacterium. Its description in RNAcentral is "partial 16S ribosomal RNA". It matches the Rfam family "Bacterial small subunit ribosomal RNA", at positions 28 to 507 of the family's 1533-position model. The record is from RNAcentral.